GGGGAGUUGGCCGAGUGGCUUAAGGCGUACGCCUGGAACGCGUAUAAACGUUUAUUCGUUUCGAGGGUUCAAAUCCCUCACUCUCCG
Molecule: transfer RNA, 87 nt
Filed under: Abyssicoccus albus
Lineage: Bacteria; Bacillati; Bacillota; Bacilli; Caryophanales; Abyssicoccaceae
Rfam family: tRNA
About the family: Transfer RNA (tRNA) molecules are approximately 80 nucleotides in length. Their secondary structure includes four short double-helical elements and three loops (D, anti-codon, and T loops).
Source: Rfam by way of RNAcentral